Molecule: ribosomal RNA, 448 nt
Filed under: uncultured bacterium
Lineage: Bacteria
Description: bacterial SSU rRNA
Rfam family: Bacterial small subunit ribosomal RNA
Source: RNAcentral
UUGCCAGACUCCUACGGGAGGCAGCAGUGGGGGAUAUUGCACAAUGGGGGGAACCCUGAUGCAGCGACGCCGCGUGGGUGAAGAAGUAUUUCGGUAUGUAAAGCCCUAUCGGCAGGGAAGAAUUUAGACGGUACCUGACUAAGAAGCCCCGGCUAACUACGUGCCAGCAGCCGCGGUAAUACGUAGGGGGCAAGCGUUAUCCGGAUUCACUGGGUGUAAAGGGAGCGUAGACGGCCGUGCAAGCCUGGAGUGAAAGCCCGGGGCCCAACCCCGGGACUGCAUUUGAAACUGUCAGGCUGGAGUGCAGGAGAGGUAAGUGGAAUUCCUAGUGUAGCGGUGAAAUGCGUAGAUAUUAGGAGGAACACCAGUGGCGAAGGCGGCUUACUGGACUGUAACUGACGUUGAGGCUCGAAAGCGUGGGGAGCAAACAGGAUUAGAUACCCGUGUA